This 76-nucleotide transfer RNA is filed under the name Candidatus Shapirobacteria bacterium CG10_big_fil_rev_8_21_14_0_10_40_9. RNAcentral describes it as "tRNA-Thr". It matches the Rfam family "tRNA". From Rfam's summary of the family: Transfer RNA (tRNA) molecules are approximately 80 nucleotides in length. The record is from RNAcentral. Lineage: Bacteria; Candidatus Shapironibacteriota.
GCCGCCUUAGCUUAGUUGGAAGAGCAGGGCUUUCGUAAAGCCAAGGUCCUGGGUUCGAUUCCCAGAGGCGGCUCAA